GUACAGAAAAAUGUUAAAGAUUUCUGGCCAGAUGUUAAGAUUAAGUAUAUUGCUGUUGGGAAUGAAAUCAGCCCUGUCACUGGCACAUCUUACCUAACCUCAUUUCUUACUCCUGCUAUGGUAAAUAUUUACAAAGCAAUUGGUGAAGCUGGUUUGGGAAACAACAUCAAGGUCUCAACUUCUGUAGACAUGACCUUGAUUGGAAACUCUUAUCCACCAUCACAGGGUUCGUUUAGGAACGAUGCUAGGUGGUUUGUUGAUCCCAUUGUUGGCUUCUUAAGGGACACACGUGCACCUUUACUCGUUAACAUUUACCCCUAUUUCAGUUAUUCUGGUAAUCCAGGCCAGAUUUCUCUCCCCUAUUCUCUUUUUACAGCACCAAAUGUGGUGGUACAAGAUGGUUCCCGCCAAUAUAGGAACUUAUUUGAUGCAAUGCUGGAUUCUGUGUAUGCUGCCCUCGAGCGAUCAGGAGGGGCAUCUGUAGGGAUUGUUGUGUCCGAGAGUGGCUGGCCAUCUGCUGGUGCAUUUGGAGCCACAUAUGACAAUGCAGCAACUUACUUGAGGAACUUAAUUCAACACGCUAAAGAGGGUAGCCCAAGAAAGCCUGGACCUAUUGAGACCUAUAUAUUUGCCAUGUUUGAUGAGAACAACAAGAACCCUGAACUGGAGAAACAUUUUGGAUUGUUUUCCCCCAACAAGCAGCCCAAAUAUAAUAUCAACUUUGGGGUCUCUGGUGGAGUUUGGGACAGUUCAGUUGAAACUAAUGCUACUGCUUCUCUCGUAAGUGAGAUGUGAGCUGAUGAGACACUUGAAAUCUCUUUACAUACGUAUUCCUUGGAUGGAAAACCUAGUAAAAACAAGAGAAAUUUUUUCUUUAUGCAAGAUACUAAAUAACAUUGCAUGUCUCUGUAAGUCCUCAUGGAUUGUUAUCCAGUGACGAUGCAACUCUGAGUGGUUUUAAAUUCCUUUUCUUUGUGAUAUUGGUAAUUUGGCAAGAAACUUUCUGUAAGUUUGUGAAUUUCAUGCAUCAUUAAUUAUACAUCAGUUCCAUGUUUGAUCAGAUUGGGAUUUGGUAACUUCAAUGUUUAGUUAUUUAUUAAUUAGUGUCUUUAUCAUUUGACUAUCAAUUAAUCUUUAUUUGGCAAGGCUUGAUAUAUUUGAG
This 1162-nucleotide long non-coding RNA is filed under the name Nicotiana tabacum (common tobacco). RNAcentral's name for it is "long non-coding RNA (NTAB_LNC006370)". Lineage: Eukaryota; Viridiplantae; Streptophyta; Magnoliopsida; Solanales; Solanaceae. The record is from RNAcentral.